ACACGUAGCGGCCAAGAUGGCGCUAGCGGUUGGAGCAGGGGCUCUGCUGCGACCUUUACGGUAGUGAGGUUAGGGACGAUGGGAGAGCAGCUUUGUUCCUGAAGUGCCGUCGAGGAUUAGGAUCGAGUUUCUUCGAUCGUGAGGGCAAUUAUUAGUGGCCUCUAGCCCCCCAGAUGGCAUCUUGAGGAGAGAGAAUCCACGCUACGAGAACUAACAUAGUGGACAUCGCAGUUGUCCGUAGCCGAUUUGCGGGUUACGGAGUUGUUGCAAGUAAAGAAGGGGAAAUCCGAGCGUUCUCGCGUUGGAUUUCCUCCACGUGUGAAGUGGGAAUGGUAGUGAUAUCUCGUGCUAUCUCUGUCAAGGGCAAGAAGGAGAAGGAAUUUAUUUGAGGCCCUACGACGUGGUGCGGUGGCUCACGCCUGUAAUCCCAACACUUUGGGAGGCCGAGGCAGGCGGAUCAUCUGAGAUCGAGAGUUCGAGACCAGCUUGACCAACAUGGAGAAACCCCGUCUCUACUAAAAGUACAAAAUUAGCCAGGCAUGGUGGCACAUGCCCGUAAUCCCAGCUACUCGGGAGGCUGAGGCAGGAGAGUAGCUUGAGCCCAGGAGGCGGAGGUUGUGGUGAGCCGAGAUCGCGCCAUUGCACAGCCUGGGCAACGAGCGAAACUCCAUCUCAAAAAAAUAAAUAAAAAUUUUUUUAAAAAAG
Molecule: long non-coding RNA, 705 nt
Filed under: Homo sapiens (human)
Lineage: Eukaryota; Metazoa; Chordata; Mammalia; Primates; Hominidae
Description: non-protein coding lnc-THAP12-1:6
Source: RNAcentral